UACUCCUACGGGAGGCAGCAGUGGGGAAUUUUGGACAAUGGGGGCAACCCUGAUCCAGCAAUGCCGCGUGUGUGAAGAAGGCCUUCGGGUUGUAAAGCACUUUUGUCCGGAAAGAAAUCCCUUGCCCUAAUACGGCGGGGGGAUGACGGUACUGGAAGAAUAAGCACCGGCUAACUACGUGCCAGCAGCCGCGGUAAUACGUAGGGUGCAAGCGUUAAUCGGAAUUACUGGGCGUAAAGCGUGCGCAGGCGGUUCGCUAAGACAGAUGUGAAAUCCCCGGGCUUAACCUGGGAACUGCAUUUGUGACUGGCGGGCUAGAGCAUGGCAGAGGGGGGUAGAAUUCCACGUGUAGCAGUGAAAUGCGUAGAGAUGUGGAGGAAUACCGAUGGCGAAGGCAGCCCCCUGGGCCAAUACUGACGCUCAUGCACGAAAGCGUGGGGAGCAAACAGGAUUAGAUACCCUGGUAGUCCACGCCCUAAACAAUGUCAACUAGUUGUCGGGUCUUCAUUGACUUGGUAACGUAGCUAACGCGUGAAGUUGACCGCCUGGGGAGUACGGUCGCAAGAUUAAAACUCAAAGGAAUUGACGGGGACCCGCACAAGCGGUGGAGCAUGUGGA
RNAcentral lists this ribosomal RNA (618 nucleotides) under uncultured bacterium. RNAcentral describes it as "bacterial SSU rRNA". It matches the Rfam family "Bacterial small subunit ribosomal RNA", at positions 334 to 945 of the family's 1533-position model. The record is from RNAcentral.